This 484-nucleotide long non-coding RNA is filed under the name Lepisosteus oculatus (spotted gar). RNAcentral describes it as "lncRNA (ENSLOCG00000022373.1)". Lineage: Eukaryota; Metazoa; Chordata; Actinopteri; Semionotiformes; Lepisosteidae. The record is from RNAcentral.
CGCCAGCACAGCUGCAGUCUUGAUCCUUCAGCUUAAUGGACGGUUUAACGACACUGGAAUACAUAGCCGAUAUCUAAACAAAAACGACAGAAAGUCAGGUGAUGUCUUCCAGGUCAGAACUGUCACAAAACACACCCAAUAAAACUUGUUCGGAUGCUUAUUUUUUCAGCAAAGCAAUGCCUGCUGUUGUUUGAUCUCUUUUGUAGCCUAGCUUAAAGAUGUAUUUCAUUCUCAUGUCUUUAAAGAAGUGAUGAUUAUCUAUGUUCCUAAAAAGACUGUCAUGCUGACUAUACUGGCUAACUGAAUACAAUUCUUUCAUUUCUGUAUCCGAGUGAAUCCCUGGACUGUAUAUAUCUACGUGAACUGUAUUAUUCCUUUAAGGAGAAAUAUCAUGUCUGCCCUUUCAUUGCUUUUGUGUGCGGUCUUUAUCACCUCAGGGGUGGGGCUUUCCACUCAGGCAGGUGUCAGAAACAAAUCUGGAGAA